This 161-nucleotide small nuclear RNA is filed under the name Cyprinodon variegatus (sheepshead minnow). RNAcentral describes it as "U1 spliceosomal RNA (ENSCVAG00000006495.1)". The stretch from base 18 to 161 matches the Rfam family "U1 spliceosomal RNA". Rfam says of the family: U1 is a small nuclear RNA (snRNA) component of the spliceosome (involved in pre-mRNA splicing). Its 5' end forms complementary base pairs with the 5' splice junction, thus defining the 5' donor site of an intron. The record is from RNAcentral. Lineage: Eukaryota; Metazoa; Chordata; Actinopteri; Cyprinodontiformes; Cyprinodontidae.
AAUAUGACCUUGUGGCAGUAGGGUUGCAUUAAUCAUGAAGUUGGUGCACCAACAUGGCCCAGCCAUUGCACUCAGGCUGCUCUGACCUUUAUAAAUUCUCCAUUGGGGAUCUGGAUUAUAUUAUUUUUGGUAGUGGGGGGACUCUAUUUGGGGUUUCCCCA